RNAcentral lists this ribosomal RNA (400 nucleotides) under uncultured bacterium. RNAcentral describes it as "bacterial SSU rRNA". It matches the Rfam family "Bacterial small subunit ribosomal RNA", at positions 355 to 772 of the family's 1533-position model. The record is from RNAcentral.
UGAGGAAUUUUCCGCAAUGGGCGAAAGCCUGACGGAGCGACACCGCGUGAAGGAUGAAGCUUUUCGGAGUGUAAACUUCUUUUAUAUGUGAAGAUUAUGACGGUAACAUAUGAAUAAGCACCGGCUAACUACGUGCCAGCAGCCGCGGUAAUACGUAGGGUGCAAGCGUUAUUCGGAUUUACUGGGCGUAAAGCGUGCGUAGGCGGUUAUGUAAGUUGGAUAUUAAAUUUACGGGCUCAACUCGUAAGCUGUAUCUAAUACUGCAUAACUUGAGAGUGGAAGAGGCAGACGGAAUUCCUGGUGGAGCGGUAGAAUGCGUAGAUAUCAGGAGGAACACCAAUGGCGAAGGCAGUCUGCUGGGACACUUCUGACGCUAAGGCACGAAAGCGUGGGUAGCGAU